Drosophila sechellia is the source of this 533-nucleotide long non-coding RNA. RefSeq lists it as uncharacterized. The record is from RefSeq and is a predicted model, not a curated record. The transcript is spliced from 3 exons. NCBI's taxonomy places the organism in Eukaryota, Metazoa, Arthropoda, Insecta, Diptera, Drosophilidae.
CAAAAAACAUUGAAAUUAGAGACUAACAUUAUACAAUUUGUUUCUUUUCAGGUACUCCCGCCAGAAGGACGGAAGCAUCGAGUCGCUGAGGAGCAUUAGUUGUCAUUACAGGUGAGUUUUUGUUGUAAGUUGGCUGUAAUCUGUUGCGGUCGCUGAGAGUGGGCCACUUGCAAUAAGUGUGUCCGGCCGGCGUAGCAGGUGCUUUGUUCUCGGUUGCAACAUCCAGCGCAGCCGUCAUUUGGUUAUCGUCAGUGGCAAGAUGAAUCCCGCGCAGCUGUCAUUGCGUAUUUAUAGAGCUGCUGUUCGUCUUGUUGUGGCAGAGAAGUCGUCAGUGCGGAUUGUAGCUCGGUCUGUCACCGAGAGAAGCCAGGUGCGCCGCGUCUUGUGGCCAUAGCGUCAGGAUUGGCAGCUUGGGGCCGCCGGUUCGAGAUUUGUUGCAGAGGGCCGCCGCAACGGAAUAGCCAUGGAAGUGAAUGCAAAAAUAGUAUUUGGUACGUUGAGUGGAAUUUAAUUUAAGGUACUUGAGGAGCAAG